RNAcentral lists this transfer RNA (74 nucleotides) under archaeon. RNAcentral describes it as "tRNA-Arg". It matches the Rfam family "tRNA". Rfam says of the family: Transfer RNA (tRNA) molecules are approximately 80 nucleotides in length. Their secondary structure includes four short double-helical elements and three loops (D, anti-codon, and T loops). Further hydrogen bonds mediate the characteristic L-shaped molecular structure. tRNAs have two regions of fundamental functional importance: the anti-codon, which is responsible for specific mRNA codon recognition, and the 3' end, to which the tRNAs corresponding amino acid is attached (by aminoacyl-tRNA synthetases). tRNAs cope with the degeneracy of the genetic code in two manners: having more than one tRNA (with a specific anti-codon) for a particular amino acid; and 'wobble' base-pairing, i.e. permitting non-standard base-pairing at the 3rd anti-codon position. The record is from RNAcentral.
GCGCCCGUAGUCCAGCCUGGAUAAGAUAGAGGCCUCCGGAGCCCCAGACCCGGGUUCAAAUCCCGGCGGGCGCG